AGAAACACUCUGGUUGUAGCCCAGAGAUUACAAUGCAGCAUGACAGUACCAACAAAGGACAGCCUCACCAUGGUGGUGAUCCAUAAGGUGAGUCUUUAAAAGGAAGAGAAAUUGUCCAGGAGGACAAGUGGACAACAGGGAACCAGCAGGGUGAAGAGAACAUGCAAAGUAUUAUUCCUGAAGACCCAAACUUUAAGAAAACUGUAAGGAGGAUAUGGAGAAUAUGAUUCUAAGUGGUCUGAAGUAUAACUUUUGUCUGAUAAUUCCUGAAUAAAUGACUGCAGUUCUGAUAACAUGGCAAGCAGAAGAUAGCACCUUCCUCACGGGCUUACCUAUAAGAAAAGUUCCAUAAUAGCAGAAUGACAAGGUCCUUCAGCAAAUCCCUGGAGAAGGCAGCCUUCAUGAGAGAAGUCAUCCUCCACACAGAGCUUCCCAGGCAGGAAUUCUGGCUGAGAGCACAGACCACAAGGCCUGAGGCCUUUCCAAGGAAGGGUUUGAGACAAGAGCUUUGAAGAUUGGAAGACAGAACCACCAGAAAAAAGAAGGGAUGCAUGAGCAUCUGCAAAGAUAAACAAAAGAAAAGGCAGGAUAAUUUGCUAAAAGGAAAUGAAGAAAACAACUAGUAACACAAGCACACACACAAAAAGAAGGGCGUUCAGAUAACAUCAGUUCAAAGAAUGGCUACUCUGUGCAGUUAGUCCUUUUCCAUUUCAGAAAAACGAAAAAAAGACGAAAGAUGAAAAUGGGGGGAGAGCAGCAAAGAGAAAAGGAAUAGUGACUAACAUACAGACAAGAUACUAUACUUGCAGAUCAAUUCUAUAUGUUUAAUAUUAUUAGAAACUCUAUGUUCUGAUUUAUUUCAAAUCAACUGCUCAGUGUAUUCUGGCACCAAAAGGGUAGAUUUAUCUUUCAAGCUUGAGCCCCAAAAGAGAUAUCCAACAGGAGCCUCAUACUUUUUGAAGGAAGGCCACUGCUCAGUGACCUGACACCACUCUUCAUUUCCAGAAAUUCAUUCAAAAUCCAAAUUAGUUUUGGCUAAUUAGCCUUCAAAACGACCUGUUUCUGGUUAAAAUACAGUGGGAUAGCAAAUAUUUUUAAGGAAUCACAGGUUUGGGAGGGAUAUGAGACUGCUUCUUGCCAGAAAGCAGGUAAAUUUCCAAAGAAAGUGGUUUCUUCUUUUCUGGAAGAUCUCUAAGAAUGGAGUAUUAAAACCAUCCAUCUCCAAGCAUGGAAAUAUUUUAUAUCCUGAUGGUCCAUAAUUUCUUUGUUACACUCAAUUAAGAAUUUUGUGUUACUUAUACCCAUGUGCUCUGUUCAUUCUGCAUCUUCCUAAUUGGUAUGAUGGAAAAGCCACAGACUUAGAGUCACUGACCUGGGCCUAACUCUACUUCCUCACCCUGUAUGGUUGUUCCUGUCAUUGUGCCUUUUUUUGUUUGCUUGCUUUUGAGACAGGGUCUCACUCUGUCACCCAGGCUAGAGUGCGGUGGCAUGAU
Long non-coding RNA from Piliocolobus tephrosceles (Ugandan red Colobus), 1493 nucleotides. RefSeq lists it as uncharacterized. Lineage: Eukaryota; Metazoa; Chordata; Mammalia; Primates; Cercopithecidae. The transcript has 4 exons. The record is from RefSeq and is a predicted model, not a curated record.